GAUUAUCAUAUCGCACUAACACACAAAAUUUUGAAGAUGAGGCUGUUGGGUUUCUUUUCUUUGUAUUUUUUUCAUUGGUUUAGCCCUUCUCUCUCUCACGCCUAAAGCUUUCAUGGGAACCAGUAUUGCUCUCAUAAUUAUCAUUGCUAUAGGUAAUCUCUCUCUCUCUCUCUAUUAAUAAUUCGAUUUGUAUGUUAAAUUUCAUAUAUCACAUAUCAUGAAUGUUAAUUAUUUUAAUAUGCAUUAAUUGUUUAUCAGCUGCAGUUAGCAGGUUGCUGAGUAGGAAAAGAACGGUUUCCUCUAGCGAAGAUAGCGAUGAAGGCCCAAAAAUACCGAACGCUCCUCCGGUACCUCACUAUUCGUUGCAGAGCGAUAGCGGUAAACAAGAAUGGAACGAACCCAGCCAUCUAUGGCGGUUGAGAAACGAACUGAGCCGAGCUGGAUACCUCCAGGCUCGGGCUCGGUUCGUGAAGAUUUGAUUCGGCUCGAGUUUGGCUCGAGCUCGAAUUCGAGCCUAAAAAUGAGCUCGAGCUCGGCUCGCUUAUAUAAUAUCAAGCUCGAGUUUGGUUCGAAUUCGACUCGUCAAUUAUUCGUUUAUCUCGAGCUCGAAUAUCAAGUUCGAUUUCAAAUUCAGGCUCGAAUUCGAGCUCGGUUCGAAUUAUUUAUAUAUUAAUGCAUGUUUCAUUAAAAUAAAAAAAAUAUAUUUGUUCAUAUAUUACUAGACUAUUUAUGAAUCAUAAUUUAUAAUUUAUUUUUAACAAAUAGAUAAUUUAUCAAGUUAGUAGUAAAUUUUUUUAAUUAUGAGAAUUGUUUUUAUUAUUUAAAAAAUACUUAACAAAUAAAAUUUAUAAAAUUAUUAUUUAAUGAACAUAUUCACGAGCCUAUUCACGAACAUAUUCGCGAGCCUAUUCGCGAAUAGGUUCGAGCCGAACAUGUUCGCGAGCUCAUGAGCCGAAUAUGUAUAGGCUCGAGUUCGGCUCGAUAAUUUUAUUGAGCUCAGAUUCGGGCUCGAGUUCGGCUCGUUUAGAAAACGAACGAAUUUCGAACGAGCUUUUUUCGAGCCAAGCCCCUAAUAGUUCGCGAGCAGCUUAGUUCGUUUACACCCCUACUCUCUAUUAAUAAUUCGAUUUGUAUGUUAAAUUUCAUAUAUCACAUAUGAUAUCAUGAAUGUUAAUUAUUUUGAUAUGCAUUAAUUGUAUCAGCUGCAGUUAGCAGGUUGCUGAGUAGGAAAAGAGCGGUUUCCUCUAGCGAAGAUAGCGAUGAAGGCCCAAAAAUACCGAACGCCCCGAUACUUCACUAUUUGUUGCAGGGCGAUAGCGGUACACAAGAAUGGGACGAACCCAGCCAUCUACGGCGGUGGAUAAGGAAGACGAAACUGUCGUAUGAUACCCUCAAUCUAUGGCGGUUGAAACAGAUGACUGGCAGGGAUAGGACUUGAUGACCUCCAAUAUACACUACUACAAAUUUGGCUUUUUUCUACUAUGCAAAGACUAUUACUUUUUACCAACAGUGUAGUGUAGUGUAUGUGCGUUAAUAGACUACGAUCGAUCACCGUACUGCAUGAGCGUGUAUUAUUUACUUUUUUCUACAUUUAUUUUCACAAUGUAUGUGCGUUUGUAUUUAUAAAUUUCUCUAUGAUCAUCUUCGAACUGUAGUGUAUAUCUGUGAAUGUUUGUUUU
This 1679-nucleotide long non-coding RNA is filed under the name Salvia miltiorrhiza (redroot sage). RNAcentral's name for it is "long non-coding RNA (SMIL_LNC010485)". The record is from RNAcentral. Lineage: Eukaryota; Viridiplantae; Streptophyta; Magnoliopsida; Lamiales; Lamiaceae.